RNAcentral lists this unclassified non-coding RNA (464 nucleotides) under Hevea brasiliensis (rubber tree). The record is from RNAcentral. Lineage: Eukaryota; Viridiplantae; Streptophyta; Magnoliopsida; Malpighiales; Euphorbiaceae.
AUCCUGGUGUCAAGAAUAUGGAAUUAGAAGGAAAUAAGGAAGUCUAUAUGCAUUUGUAAAUGCAUGCCAAAUCAAUUAGUGGGGUGGUUAGCUGGAGGAUCCUGCUUACUGGUAUCUACUGUUCCUUUGAAUUAUUAAUGUGCAUAUUGAUUUACUAGAAUAUGCAUAGAUGGUUAAGAAUUGUUCUUAAAUUUUGAGGUUCAAUAGUUUAUAAUUCCCUUUUCCUAUAAUAGAAAGCAAGGUCUGUGAUGUCACCUCAUAAGGGGGGAAAAGGAGGAUGUAGUCUUAUCCCAAUAAUUGUUUUGGAAUUUUUUGCGUUUGAGCAAUAAGAAAUAGUUAUUGUGAGUUCCUUUGAUUUUAUAUUGUAAAUAAUAACGGUUCGCAGUUCGCACCUCCUUCAUUCUCUCUAUAUUAUUCUCAUCUUUGUUUACAUAAAGAAUAAAGUAAAAUAAAAUAAAUUGUCA